Molecule: ribosomal RNA, 405 nt
Filed under: Khorata sp. PH001
Lineage: Eukaryota; Metazoa; Arthropoda; Arachnida; Araneae; Pholcidae
Description: partial 16S ribosomal RNA
Rfam family: Archaeal large subunit ribosomal RNA
Source: RNAcentral
CCUGCUCAGUGUUUAUAAUAAAUAGCCGCAGUAAAACUGUGCUAAGGUAGCAUAAUAAUUUGCUUUCUAAUUAAAAGAUAGAAUAAAAGGUUAAACAAUGAGAUUCUGUUUCUAUUAAUAAAAACAAAUUAAUUUUAAGGUUAAAACUCCUUAAUUAAAAGAUAAGACGACAAGACCCUGACAAACUCAUAUAUUUAGUUGGGGUGACAUAUUAAUAAAAACUUAAUUUAAAAAAAAAUUCAAACCCUACCAAAAGAAAAAGCUAAGUUACUGCAGGGAUAACAGCGCAAUUUUUUUCUAAAGAUCUAAUUUAAAAAAAAGAUUACGACCUCGAUGUUGAAUUAUUUAAUCUAUUUGGUGCAAAAACUAAAAAAGAAAGUCUGUUCGACUAUUAAUUAAAUACAU